AACACAAACCCCGGCGCUGAAUGCGUCAAGGAAUUUAAAAUUUGCUAUGAGCGCACCUGCAUGGCACCGGAGACGGUUUUUGUGCGGGUUGUGUUCUGACACUUAAUAUAGAAUGACUCUCGGCAACGGAUAUCUAGGCUCUUGCAUCGAUGAAGAACGUAGCGAAAUGCGAUACUUGGUGUGAAUUGCAGAAUCCCGUGAACCAUCGAGUCUUUGAACGCAAGUUGCGCCCGAUGCCAUUAGGUUGAGGGCACGUCUGCCUGGGCGUCACAUAUCGAAGCCUCUCGCCAAUUUCCUAUAUUGAUAGGGGUAUUGUGCAGGGCGAAUGUUGGCCUCCCGUGAGCUCUAUGGCCUCAUGGUUGGUUGAAAAUCGAGACCUUGGUAGGGUGUGCCAUGAUAGAUGGUGGCUGUGUUACGCACGAGACCAAGUAAGUCAUGUGCUGCUCUAUUGAAUUUAGGCCUCUUUUACCCACAUGCGUUUCGAAACGCUCGUGAUGAGACCUCAGGUCAGGCGGGGCUACCCGCUGAAUUUAAGCAUAUCAAUAAGCGGAGGAAAAGAAACUAACAAGGAUUCC
This 575-nucleotide ribosomal RNA is filed under the name Trifolium isthmocarpum. RNAcentral describes it as "eukaryotic LSU rRNA". The stretch from base 115 to 270 matches the Rfam family "5.8S ribosomal RNA". Lineage: Eukaryota; Viridiplantae; Streptophyta; Magnoliopsida; Fabales; Fabaceae. The record is from RNAcentral.